AUCGCUUCUCGGCCUUUUGGCUAAGAUCAAGUGUAGAAAUGCUUUUUUUGAGACGAAAGAAAUGGAAAUAUAGCUAGUACACAGAGAAUUGCAUAUAAUCCAUGCAAUUAUGUAGUGCUUGUAAACAUAAUCCUACAAUACCCUAGAUACUGU
This is a small nuclear RNA of 153 nucleotides. Its record names the gene U2. It matches the Rfam family "U2 spliceosomal RNA". From Rfam's summary of the family: U2 is a small nuclear RNA (snRNA) component of the spliceosome (involved in pre-mRNA splicing). The record is from Ensembl.